Hippocampus zosterae (dwarf seahorse) is the source of this 6030-nucleotide long non-coding RNA. RefSeq lists it as uncharacterized. The record is from RefSeq and is a predicted model, not a curated record. NCBI's taxonomy places the organism in Eukaryota, Metazoa, Chordata, Actinopteri, Syngnathiformes, Syngnathidae. The transcript is spliced from 3 exons.
CUUGAUCCUCACUAGGGUCGCGGGGGGUGCUAGAGCCCAUCCCAGCCGUCUCCGGGCAGUAGGCGGGGGACACCCUGAAUCGGUUGCCAGCCAAUCGCAGGGCACACAUAGACGAACAACCAUCCACGCUCACACUCACACCUAGGGACAAUUUAGAGUGUUCAAUCAGCCUGCCAUGCAUAUUUUUGGAAUGUGGGAGGAAACCGGAGCACCCGGAGAAAACCCACGCAGGCCCGGGGAGAACAUGCAAACUCCACACAGGGAGGCCGGAGCCGGAAUCGAACCCGGUACCUCUGCACUGUGAAGCCGACGUGCUAACCACUGGACUACCGGGCCGCCCGAGAGACCAGAUCCUAUUUCAGAAUUCAAUUAGCGGAACGGAAAAGAAGGAUCCGAGCUGACCAAAUGGCACUCUGACCGGCAGAGCAGGUUUGUUAAAUUAAUGAGGGGAUACAGGCGCUUCGGAAAUGAAUUCCCCAACCCGUUCAAUGAGCAACCAACUCGGAAGAUUCAGGAUGUUCAAAGGCUUGCAAGGGAAAUGAAAACCGGGCUCUCCAAACUUGCAACGGACGAAUCAGACUUUGGUUGAGUUUAUGAUGUGAGCGUUUGCACAAUACAGUGAAGCAGGAAGGGAGGCUGGGGUUGGGGUGGGGGGGUCAUAUGGCAGUCCCAUCUGUCUACUACUCAGUUGUCACGUCAGCUGGAGGAAACCGCCGCGAGGCACCGAGGUGUUUGUAACAAGACCCUCCAGCCGACCUGACGCCGAGACACCGACACCACUUGGCUCAAGACGAAGCUGGAACACACGCCGACGCAGGCGGGUUGUUAUGCUAACUGAUGCCGAUCAUUUGAGAUCAAGAGGAACGCAUCCGAAAGUGCGCCGGCAGUUCACGGCCGAACGCCGAGUCAUCCGUCAGCGGCCUUUUUCUCAAGGUUAGGGCGGCAAGGACGGUCCGGCGAGUCCGUCGUUAAAAAGGUCGACGUCACAAGGUUGUGAUGGACAACCUGCCACAAAGUAAACGGGAGAUUCAGCUCUUCUUAUUCAUCAGUGUUUAGUUCUCCUUAUAUCAGCAGACACCUCCAACUGUAAACAAAAGCCUCCCCUCCACCCCCUCACCUAGCGUAUCAGCACUUCAAACAAAAUGUCGAUAAGCCACAUCCCGACAUUGUCCACAUUGCGACGAGAAGCCCAACGAGCCGACGUAAUGACCGUAUUUUCGGUGAAAUUUCAAGCUCACUGCUCCUUGAAAUUGCAUUAUCUCAAGCUCGGAGAAAAAAAAAACAAAAAGAAAAGAAUGAUACGAAUGGCGAGCAUAUGGACAGUGGUCAAGCGAUGCACCGUGCCUAUUUUGGGGGUUUGCUUUUCAUGAAUUAAACGACUAUAAAGACAGAUGAUAUCACUUAAGAGACUCCCGUCGCUUGGCAAACCAAAAUGUAUCGGCCGGCCGUUCAGUGUUAGUCACUUCCAAUUUGACCAGCGUGCCUUGGCAGAGGUCGCCGUGCUCUCGGUGGCGUUCCUCCACGGCAGCCUCGGCGUUUAUUAUACUGCAGGGGUCGGACGAUGUGUUAUUCCCGCUACGUUUGCCUUUUAACCUGGCCGACCUGGUGUUCAGAUGAUGGUCCUAGAAGUGCCAAACCGAAUGUGGAUUCAUAUAUAUAUAUACAUACAUUCUUGCUGCUGGAGGCUGUAAAUUUCCCCAUUGUGGGACAAAUAAAGGAUAUCUUAUCUUAUCUUAUCUUAUCUUAUCUUAUAUUGUACUCGUACUGCUAAGUAGUGAAACCCUUUCUUGGCCUCAUGUGUCCUCGGUGCUGUUAAACUGAAUUUCGUGGCAGGUUUUGAUCAAUCUGCCUGUUUUUGGUGGAGAUGAGCUGCUAAAACGUUGCAGGGUUUAUUUCUGUUCGGAUUCUGUUCUUGUGUGUCUCUAGCAGGUGGCGGCGGAGUGCCUUCCCUCCAGCGUGCACACCUGCUGACAAAUUAUUCUUCAAAUUCGCCAGGUAUUUGAGGGUCACGCGGAGCGUAACGCCGACCCCAGCCGACAAAGGAGCAAACGUUGGGACACGAUUGCAAGUCAAUCAAAAACCGCAAAGAAUCCUCAGCGCCAAUCGGCGUCUCAUCUGAAAAGCACUUUGUUUUGUCAAGGAGCGAGAACAUCAUUCAUUAUUAACGACGGAUAAAUAGUCCUUCCUGUGGGGCGACGGCGUGCGACGAAUGGAAAAGAAGCGUUGGGCUCGCCGCUUGCUGUCUUUGAAACUGUCCGUGCGUUUCCAUAUGAAGUCUUAUUUGCCCGAGUGAAGCUCCUCAACUGACUUCGCCAUAGCUCUUUUGGCCCCAAAAUGCACUUUCCCCUUGAAAGGUCUCCUUUCAAGAAUGCCGCUUUUCAAGUCUUUGAAUGAAACGGACUCCAGUCAUCGUGUACGGCGUGCUCUCGGCAAUACUCUUUUUGCGUUUCAUUCGUUAGCAACCAGCAGGCGGCCCGGGCCACUAAUGAACACGGGGGGUGUGACCGCCUGCACCCUAAAUUAUUUAAGCACUUCCGGCAAGACGAGAGAACUCCCGGUGAGAUGGAAAUCGUCUCCCGUGUCAAUAUCCUCAAACCGUUUGACGUUACAUCCUACUGCAGCCAAAUCGCGCGUCAGUUAUUUGAAUCCAUGUUGGAAUUUUACUCGGGAGAGGAGCUCAGUACAGUGAUCAUGGACCUGAGAGCCCCCCUAUUUAUUUUUUACCCAAUGAGUAUGUACGACGACAUGUUACUAAUUGACAAUUGUCACUACGAGUACUUCUAGUAAAGCGCUAAGUGUUAAGCAUGAGGAUUUAAUACUGACUCGAUUAGCGCUAGUAGCACCUAGCUGUGAACUACGGCGUAGCUUUGCCGUAGUCCAAAAUGAGUACUGGUACAUGUAGUUUAAAACGGAUGUCAAGGGUUUUGACGACUAGUGACAUGAUAAAAUUCCUCAAGUUAACAUGUAGCACUUCACUGCUAGCGCUAAUAGCAUACCAGUGGUUUGGCUAGUCGACGUAGACAGUAUUACUUCACGAGUCGUGCUAGUAGCAAACAGUUGUUAACUGUCAUGUCAGGACAAAGAGAGUACACUGUCAAAAAUAACGUGUAUUUUAUUCUUAUUAUUGUUUUCAAAACAUUACAAUGUUAGUUAGCCUAGCAAAGCGGACAACUUGUUUGCCCCAAAAAAUAACGUGUAUUUUAUUCUUAUUAUUUUUUUCAAAACAUUACAAUGUUAGUUAGCCUAGCAAACCGGACAACUUGUUUGCCCCAAAACAGUGUGCAGAGUCGUUUUUGCUUCUAUCUUGACGCUAGAGGCUAGCUAGUACCGUGGACACUUAGCGCUGUCAAUUUUUGUCUUUUUUUGUUUUGCUGUUUACUAAGAAACGUCCCUUCACCCUUUCAUGCACCCUGAUAACACUGUAGUGACCGUUGUCCUCGAAAGGGUUAAACUGGAUAUCAAGGAUUUAAAAAAUAAUAGCGAAAUGAUAAAAUUCAACUAGCUAGCAUUUAGCUCCUCACUAGCACAAGGACUACUUUUAAUGUCCCAAUGUUCAAUAGCGCAUGAUAUUUGGAAACAUGUAGUCGUGCCACUAGUACGCCAAAAUUGGUACUAGUGGAUAAAAAACACGUCUUGGAUGCUUUUUUUGGCAGCUUCCCAUGAGAAGCGCGCGAUCGAAUCGAGAUGAGCAACAGUUAGCGUGCGCGGCGAGCAGCUUAUCACUCAGUCUUCAAAAGGCGGCGCUUUUGCCUUAAUGGCUUCGAUUCAUCAUUGUUUGGGAUCAGCCCACGUUGGGGUCACUGACGGCAAAGACCGCGGCGGUCAUCCGCUUUGAAAAUAUCCACUAACCCCGAGACAUCCAUUCCAGCACACGCCAUUACGCUCUUAAUGCGACCUGGAGAAGAAAAAAAAAGAAGCUAGGUUUUCGUGUUUUUGUGUUGACCUAUUACCAUCCGCCUCUCUCCGCCGCCUCCAUAAAUCUACAUAACGACACAUCCGGAAGGUUCGGGCCAAGACGGCGCAGACGCGGCGAGACAAAUGCAUGUUGUCGAUGCGGUGGAGGCGUCGAGACAAAUGGGUGGGGCGCGGCAUUCGGCAACACGGUCCCCCCCACCCCCUACAAAAAAAACAAAACUGACGCGAGUUGGAAUUAAUUGGCGCGCUGAGUUUUUAAUCAUCUAAAAUGGGACGAUAUGAAAUAAACAGGGCGUGACUCAUUAGUGGAUGGACAAACCCCGCUCGGGUUCAAAUGUCACAUUUUAACCCGCAAUGGCGCUCAGGCUCGUUGACCCUACCGUUUCACGUGUCACACGUCAUCGCCAGAUUUUUUGUUUUAGUUUGUUCCAAAAACCGAUGUUUGCUGCCCGCUUCAAACUGGUGUAUGGAGGCAUUCAUGUGCUCUCUGCGUUUACACUCUGACUGGCCAUUACUGCAGAUGGCGGGGCCCGCGAAGGCCAGCCAGCCAAGCGUGCUCGCAUAAAGGCACAGCUGCAGCGGCAAUACAGACUCUCCUCGCUCUUUUUCACACUUGGAUUUCUUCCAGCGGCAUCUAUCAGGAAAACCAGCGCGCUGCUUCCUGUCCUCUCCGCAACACACAGGGCUGCCUCUGUAGCAUUCGCAACCGCCGGAGAGAUUUGGACAUUUGUUUUGGCUCGGCUUGAGCUCAAACAACAACAUCUGUCUCGUUAGCUAAAUGCUAACAAAACUCCAGAGAGUGGCUACAAAUUGGCGUCUGUUGACGGGCAUAUAUUCUUUAUCCUUUGCAAAAACUUACAAAUAACACUGCCGCUUUAAGUCAGAGGUAAAAACACUUUGUUCACGCACGUCUUUAUCAAACUAACCCCGGGAGGCAUAGGCAUGCACGGCGGAGGGAGCAGCACAAUGUCAAUGGAAUAAAUGAAUAACAACAAACAAAAAAACGUGGCGAAAAUGCUUUCGUUCUUUACAUUCAAGUUAAUGAGUUUGACAACCGCUUCUGUAAAAUUGACGAUAAUUCUCCAACCAGUGGUUAUUUUGACAGCGGUAUGCCACUGCUCUAAACCGUGAAAAAUGUGUCACAUGUCUCUUUGGGAGGGAGGGGGGGGGGGGGGGGUAAGUAGAAUUCAAAUCAUGUGUGCGCUAAUGGUGGACUUGUGUGCGCCAGAAAAUGUCAAUUCAGGCCCAUUAGGAAAAGCGCUGCAAUUUCCACGCUUUUGUGUAGUGAUGCUGAGUGGAGGAGCUGGCAGGCGCCCUGACGUGAUUAUGUCAUUAUUUGCAGUUGAAAGGUCGGGCGAGCACCAUUUAAACUUCAACUUGAGCUGUGCAGGACAGCUAGGGGGGUGGGGGGGGGGGGGGGUUGCAUGCCAACAAACAGGCUGGAUAAUAGUGAGACCUUUGAUUUGAUUUCAUGGGUUUGAUUAAACCCCAUGACUCCCAAGAUGUUCAGCAAACUGGAUCGAUGCCAACGACGUAGAGUGACAAGCAAAACCAUUAAAUGCUCCACUCUUAGAUUCUUGAAUGUCAAGCCAUUUUUUUCCUUGUAUUUCUUUGGUUAAAAUCGAGGCAAACUUAACAAAAAAAAAUGUUUUCAACAUUUUGAGGGGCAGCGGUUACUACGGCGGACAGCUUAUCAUGUUAUCAGGUUACAGGGUGUAUGAAAGGGUUAAUAAAAAUGUCAGUCUACUAUUGCUUUAUUUUAUAAAAUGUUAAAGUAAUUACAAAUAUGUAAUUAAAAAAAUCCAAAUUUUUUGACUUCAGUUCAAUAGUGCGACGGUCACAACUUCACUGAUGUUACUUGGUCUUUGUGGAGGAUAAAGAAUUCACGCCCGUGACUAUUGUUACAUGUUCUGCCCGCGCGUCUUGAUCAGCUUUUGUGACAAUAUAUCCUUUUGCUUGAAAGCUUCUAACACUGUAGCACAGACGCUCUCUGUUAGCCUGUUGAUGGUGUUUUGCACUAUAUGUUAGCAUAAAGCUAACUUGACUUUAAUGACAAGCUAUGUGUUUCAUGAGUCGAACAUUAUUGACGGGCAGUGACAAUAAACAUAAUGAAGG